GAUGAACGCUGGCGGCGUGCCUAAUACAUGCAAGUCGAGCGAACAGACGAGGAGCUUGCUCCUCUGACGUUAGCGGCGGACGGGUGAGUAACACGUGGAUAACCUACCUAUAAGACUGGGAUAACUUCGGGAAACCGGAGCUAAUACCGGAUAAUAUAUUGAACCGCAUGGUUCAAUAGUGAAAGACGGUUUUGCUGUCACUUAUAGAUGGAUCCGCGCCGCAUUAGCUAGUUGGUAAGGUAACGGCUUACCAAGGCAACGAUGCGUAGCCGACCUGAGAGGAUGAUCGGCCACACGGGAACUGAGACACGGUCCAAACUCCUACGGAAGGCAGCAGGAGGGAAUCUUCCGCAAUGGGCGAAAGCCUGACGGAGCAACGACGCGUGGAGGAUGAAGAUCUUCAGAUCGUAAAACUCUGUUAUUAGGGAAGAACAAAUGUGUAAGUAACUAUGCACGUCUUGACGGUACCUAAACAGAAAGCCACGGCUAACUACGUG
This 497-nucleotide ribosomal RNA is filed under the name uncultured bacterium. RNAcentral's name for it is "partial 16S ribosomal RNA". It matches the Rfam family "Bacterial small subunit ribosomal RNA", at positions 28 to 507 of the family's 1533-position model. The record is from RNAcentral.